Molecule: ribosomal RNA, 309 nt
Filed under: uncultured bacterium
Lineage: Bacteria
Description: partial 16S ribosomal RNA
Rfam family: Bacterial small subunit ribosomal RNA
Source: RNAcentral
AGAGACAGCAGCGGCGGGAAUACAGAGGGUGCGAGCGUUAAUCGGAUUUACUGGGCGUAAAGCGUGCGUAGGCGGCUUCUUAAGUCGGAUGUGAAAUCCCUGAGCUUAACUUAGGAAUUGCAUUCGAUACUGGGAAGCUAGAGUAUGGGAGAGGAUGGUAGAAUUCCAGGUGUAGCGGUGAAAUGCGUAGAGAUCUGGAGGAAUACCGAUGGCGAAGGCAGCCAUCUGGCCUAAUACUGACGCUGAGGUACGAAAGCAUGGGGAGCAAACAGGAUUAGAUACCCCCGUAGUCCCUGUCUCUUAUACACA